Molecule: long non-coding RNA, 1099 nt
Filed under: Pongo abelii (Sumatran orangutan)
Lineage: Eukaryota; Metazoa; Chordata; Mammalia; Primates; Hominidae
Description: lincRNA
Source: RNAcentral
AAUGCAGAGAGGAUGCACACUCUGAAGAGGGCAGGCAGCUUCUGCACCGAGGGAGCAAAGGGGCGUGUCAGGGGCAGCUGCUGGGAGGAGGGGCAAGCACCACGGAGAGUCUGGGAUGCCCAGCCAAGGAGCCCUGGAAGGGUUGCCCUGGGGACUGACACUGUGGGCUCUGUGUUUUAGCCAAGUCACCCAGGCAGCUGAACAGAGGAUGGACUGGAGGGAGAAGCCUGGAUGAUCGCUCAGCAACAAAGGAGCCAGAAAAGGCAAGGUGUACACACCGUGUGCAGCAUGGGCGAGCCUGCAGGCGUGCAGAACUUCUGAGUCCUAACCAUGGCUGGUGGCUCUUCCAGGAACAUGGUUUCCUGGACCCAAAAGAUGAGGAAACUGAGGCUUGGAGAGGCUUUCUGCCUUUGUCAACCUGGAGAUGCUGGGAAGGAAGUGAGGCCAUCCCGCCUCAGAUGCCUGUCCUCUGUCGUCAGGAGUAUUCUCUUGUUCUUCCGGACUUGGCCAAGCGGUGGUAAACCCCACAUGUGGUUCUGUGGUUGCCCACACAGUCCUAAAAAUAGCCAACAGGAACCCAGGGGCUCCCCCUUGGUGAGUGGCAGCAGUCCCAGUCCUCAGGCAGCCACCGACCUGCUCACUCCCCACAGGCGAGCAGGUCCUGUCUAGGAAGGGGCUGGGUGGCCUGGGUCCCAUGCAUGAUGAGCCAGAGGCUGUGCCAAGCUUGUAGCAAAUAUUAUUUUAUUUCAUUAUGUUUUCUUACAUCUGUGAUGUGGAGGUCAUGGCUCCACUGGACUCAUGAGGAGACUGAGGCUCAGAGCAAUGAAGUGACCUGCUCAAAGUUAAGGAGCUUCAGUGAGGACCCAAUUUGUUCUGAUCCUAAGGUCACUAUCCUUAAUUCCUCUCCCUGUGGGGUCUUCCCUUUCUUGAGCCUGUGGACAGCAGUGCAGUGGCAAGAGAAAGGCCUUCAGAGCUAUGCAGACCUGGCUUCAAGUCCCAGCCUCCCUGAUGAGCCCUGGUGGUCUUGAAUGACACAGUCCCUGCCCACAUGGAGCUGACAUUCUCAUAGAGAGAAAGGGACAAAUAAACAAAUGUACAA